GAUGAACGCUGGCGGCGUGCCUAAUACAUGCAAGUCGAGCGAACGGACGAGAAGCUUGCUUUUCUGAUGUUAGCGGCGGACGGGUGAGUAACACGUGGAUAACCUACCUAUAAGACUGGGAUAACUUCGGGAAACCGGAGCUAAUAUCGGAUAAUAUUUUGAACCGCAUGGUUCAAAAGUGAAAGACGGUCUUGCUGUCACUUAUAGAUGGAUCCGCGCUGCAUUAGCUAGUUGGUAAGGUAACGGCUUACCAAGGCAACGAUGCAUAGCCGACCUGAGAGGGUGAUCGGCCACACUGGAACUGAGACACGGUCCAGACUCCUACGGGAGGCAGCAGUAGGGAAUCUUCCGCAAUGGGCGAAAGCCUGACGGAGCAACGCCGCGUGAGUGAUGAAGGUCUUCGGAUCGUAAAACUCUGUUAUCAGGGAAGAACAUAUGUGUAAGUAACUGUGCACAUCUUGACGGUACCUAAUCAGAAAGCCACGGCUAACUACGUG
RNAcentral lists this ribosomal RNA (497 nucleotides) under uncultured bacterium. RNAcentral describes it as "partial 16S ribosomal RNA". It matches the Rfam family "Bacterial small subunit ribosomal RNA", at positions 28 to 507 of the family's 1533-position model. The record is from RNAcentral.